GAGAAAUUGCACGGAUUAUUGGCUCUUUCCUGACCUUUUAAUGAAGACUUCUAAAAUCUCUAGCAUCUGAAUGCAUGAUUGAUAUAUAUAAAGAAGGAAUCUACAACCGGAUAUUUGCAACUCGACAAAAAGUGAUGUGAUUAUGUCUGAUUUAAAUCAGAUUUAAUUGGAUACCUGUAAACGACGUCACGUCUGUGUGUUGAACCUGAUUGACUUCUGAAUCUCCGAAUGCCUCGAUUUACCUACGAUGAUGUCACUUGCAGGAAGGAAGGGAAAUUAAAAAUUUCAUUUGACCCAAAUGGACAAGCGCCAAGAUUCUCAAUUCCAAGCAUUGUGAAAAUAUUGUACAGACUUGCUAUCGAUGCUUAAUCAUAAAUAUAGCAGAAAUAGCACAUCUAUAACAGCUACAUCGAAAGUCACUAUUAUCCAUUAAGGCAUAAUUCAGGAUCUUACCUUCCUAUUUUCUUAGAAAUACCAAUGCUCCUGCCUCAUAGGUUCAGCCUGCCAUUUAUUGUAGAAUUAUCCUUUGUAAAAAAUGUCAAUAAAAUGUAAGAUUUUUAUUCUACAA
Parasteatoda tepidariorum (common house spider) is the source of this 568-nucleotide non-coding RNA. The record is from RefSeq and is a predicted model, not a curated record. NCBI's taxonomy places the organism in Eukaryota, Metazoa, Arthropoda, Arachnida, Araneae, Theridiidae.